Molecule: long non-coding RNA, 1093 nt
Organism: Olea europaea var. sylvestris
Lineage: Eukaryota; Viridiplantae; Streptophyta; Magnoliopsida; Lamiales; Oleaceae
Exons: 3
Source: RefSeq, a predicted model, not a curated record
CCAACCCAACUCAUAUAUACAAAUCCAAUAUCACAACCCAUUUACCCAAAUUUCCAAAAUCAAAAUUUGAAAUACGAAUUAUACGAUUUAGGGAUGCUCUUCUCGACGUGCUGCGGUGCUCUCCUAUGUCUUCUCUGUUUGUUCAUCAUCGUCCGGUCACUCGACUCACUCCACAAUCUCCACAGGUCCACCUCCGCCCAGACCCUUCACCGGCCGCUUGAAAUUUGAAUCUUCAAUUCUUCAUAAGUCGGUUGAAGUCGAACACUCGAACUUCGAACUCGAAGUGUAAGUCGUGUGACUCUGCAGUAGCGCCUGCAGCCUACUCCACUGGACCGCUGCUUGUCGUCGCCCGUUGAGGACCUAUCACCUGCUGUAUAGUCUGUUUGGGGCCGCACAAUUUAGAUAAAAUUUCUUAUUUUAAACUUUAAAGCGGUAGGGGCGGAGGCCGGACCGGAGAGGCGGGAGAGCUUUCAACUUUGUUGGGACUUAGUUCCUGGCUCCUGCAGUCUGCAGGUUAGAAUUUAGCCUUCUUGUAUGUGUAAUCCAUUGGGCAAUUUAUGUUUGUUACUUGUUAGUUUGUAUUAUAGGUAACUCAAUAUUUAUCCAGUAGUAAGGGGUGAAGCCCAGCGCCCUAAAAUUGAAUGAGUCCCAGUGUCCCACCAAAAUGCUAGCUGCCAUUGCUUCAAAAUUCUAGACUAAUCUGAGCAAUUCCAAUUUGAUAUAUCAUUAUUAUCAUCGUUCGAAUAUCCUCAGGGCUUCACCACUGCUCCAUAUGUGGCCAAAAAUUUCCAUGUUUUUGGGCCAUUAUGAAUGCACCUGAAGCUAUUAUUAAAUUUUUUAAAAUUGCAAUCGGCUUACUCCUAGUUCAGAAAAUGGUAUCAUUCUCAAUGGUGUAAUUCCACAAUCUUCAUCUAAAUUCCAUUUCUCUAGUAAGUAAUGGUUUGCACUAACUUGUUAUUGAAGAGAUUGGAAUUAUUUGAAGCCUUAUCAGCUUAUAUAAUUGCAGCCUAGUCGGUUCAUAUGAUUGCUUAUUGUACGAUGAACAAUUGAACAGGCGCACGUAGUAACUAUAUUCGAAACUAUAAUUGUGAGA